This 549-nucleotide ribosomal RNA is filed under the name uncultured Glomeromycotina. RNAcentral's name for it is "SSU rRNA". It matches the Rfam family "Eukaryotic small subunit ribosomal RNA", at positions 548 to 1098 of the family's 1831-position model. Lineage: Eukaryota; Fungi; Glomeromycota. The record is from RNAcentral.
UUGGAGGGCAAGUCUGGUGCCAGCAGCCGCGGUAAUUCCAGCUCCAAUAGCGUAUAUUAAAGUUGUUGCAGUUAAAAAGCUCGUAGUUGAAUUUCGGGGUUAGUAGGUUGGUCAUGCCACUGGUAUGUACUGGUCUCGCUGAUUCCUCCUUCCUGAUGAGACGUAAUGCCAUUAAUUUGGUGUUGCGAGGAAUCUGGACUGUUACUUUGAAAAAAUUAGAGUGUUUAAAGCAGGCUAACGCUUGAAUACAUUAGCAUGGAAUAAUGAAAUAGGACGUUCGAUCUUAUUUUGUUGGUUUCUAGGAUUGACGUAAUGAUUAAUAGGGAUAGUUGGGGGCAUUAGUAUUCAAUUGUCAGAGGUGAAAUUCUUGGAUUUAUUGAAGACUAACUACUGCGAAAGCAUUUGCCAAGGAUGUUUUCAUUAAUCAAGAACGAAAGUUAGGGGAUCGAAGACGAUCAGAUACCGUCGUAGUCUUAACCAUAAACUAUGCCGACUAGGGAUCGGAUGAUGUUAAUUUUUUAAUGACUCAUUCGGCGCCUUACGGGAAAC